GUACACUCCUACGGGAGGCAGCAGUGGGGAAUAUUGCACAAUGGGCGCAAGCCUGAUGCAGCCAUGCCGCGUGUAUGAAGAAGGCCUUCGGGUUGUAAAGUACUUUCAGCGGGGAGGAAGGCGAUAAGGUUAAUAACCUUGUCGAUUGACGUUACCCGCAGAAGAAGCACCGGCUAACUCCGUUCCAGCAGCCGCGGUAAUACGGAGGGUGCAAGCGUUAAUCGGAAUUACUGGGCGUAAAGCGCACGCAGGCGGUCUGUCAAGUCGGAUGUGAAAUCCCCGGGCUCAACCGGGGAACUGCAUUCGAAACUGGCAGGCUAGAGUCUUGUAGAGGAGGGUAGAAUUCCAGGUGUAGCGGUGAAAUGCGUAGAGCUCUGGAGGAAUACCGGUGGCGAAGGCGGCCCCCUGGACAAAGACUGACGCUCAGGUGCGAAAGCGUGGGGAGCAAACAGGAUUAGAAACCCGGGUAGUCCCAUG
This 477-nucleotide ribosomal RNA is filed under the name uncultured organism. RNAcentral's name for it is "partial 16S ribosomal RNA". It matches the Rfam family "Bacterial small subunit ribosomal RNA", at positions 331 to 799 of the family's 1533-position model. The record is from RNAcentral.